GACGAACGCUGGCGGCGUGCUUAACACAUGCAAGUCGAACGGAAACGCCCUUCGGGGUUGCUCUGCUGGGGUGGGGAACGUGAGAGUAACACGAGCUGACCCUGCCCUUGGCUUUGGGAUAGGUUCAGGUAGCUAAUGCUAGUACCGUACCGCAUCGGCUUCGGCAGUGUGUGGGUUGGAUAUUUGCGGCGGUUGGGGAUGGACUCGCGGCUUAUCUGCUUGUUGGUGGGGUAGUGGCUGACCAAGGCUGGGACGGGUAGCCGGCCUGAGAGGGUGACCGGCCACACUGGGACUGAGACACGGCCCAGACUCCUACGGGAGGCAGCAGUGGGGAAUAUUGCACAAUGGGCGGAAGCCUGAUGCAGCGACGCCGCGUGAGGGAUGACGGCCUUCGGGUUGUAAACCGCUUUCGGCUGCGACGAAGCGAGAGUGACGGUAAUGGGAGAAGAAGCACCGGCUAACUACGUG
Molecule: ribosomal RNA, 468 nt
Filed under: uncultured bacterium
Lineage: Bacteria
Description: partial 16S ribosomal RNA
Rfam family: Bacterial small subunit ribosomal RNA
Source: RNAcentral